This is a long non-coding RNA of Papaver somniferum (opium poppy), 882 nucleotides long. RefSeq lists it as uncharacterized. The transcript has 6 exons. Lineage: Eukaryota; Viridiplantae; Streptophyta; Magnoliopsida; Ranunculales; Papaveraceae. The record is from RefSeq and is a predicted model, not a curated record.
UUUAUCUUUUAUAAGCAAAACCCAGUAAGGGUGAUUUAUUAAAUUUUCGUUUCUCAUCGUUGGAUAGAUUCGUGGAAAGAAGUGUUUAAUUGUGGAUGACUCUCAUUAAUCAUUCAAACAUCAAGUUUCGAAAAACUUGGAGUAUAUGAUACUGUAUAUCUGAAGGAACUCAAAGCGAGUAUUCUGUUUAUUUCGUUCUUUGGCGUAUUCUUGCAUAUGAAAAGCUAGGUCAGAAAACCUGUCAGCCGCCAAGGGAGUAUACCAGAACAAGAUGCAUGUUGCCGAACCAUGGCCUUCAGAGAACGAGAAGAACUUUAAGAAAGGCUGGUUAACAUACAUUACCAUAUCUUUGCUUACACAUAGGCAACUCUUAUUGAGUGUUCUUAGAGACAUGAGAGUCCCUCCUAGACCAAUGCUUCUAAUAUUCUCCCACAUUGCAAGUAUAUUCAUCCUGGUAGUCUCCGGGAGAGAAGAUGAAGUGGGAGCUCAAGAAAGUUUGGGACGAGUAUAAAAUAUCAGAGUCGGGUUGUUGAUCUUCUUGUGUUCAAGAGCAAUACAAGGUAUAUGUGUUGUCAAGGGGCUUGUAGGAAUGGUGCAAAGGAGGACGAAGAUUCUUUGAUAUCUCUGAAGAACAUACUGGGAUUCUUACUGCUAGUGCCAAGUUCUCUCACAAUUUGAUCUAUAGUGCGACGCCACAUUGUAUGGACCUGACCGGCACCAUUCUCCAUUGUAAAGAUGUUUUGUAUGUGGCCAAAAAGAUGGUCCGUAGUCCUGUAAAAGUCACUCUCGCAGUUUUGUUCCCUUUUGCAGAGAAGUUUACCACCAUCCAAAAGUAGACUAACUGCAAGGCCUUAAUUUCCACUAUGACUUGCUUUUAUUUCA